CACACUGUAAGAUUUCAUUUUCUCCUGUAUUAUGUUAGCGGCCGCUCUCUUGGCCUAUGGACCUUGUGUAAAUGCUAUUUUAACUUGUUUGUUUCCCUCCUAUAUUUUGUCUGGCUACUGUUGUUGUUAUUGUUAUUAUUUAUUUACAAUAGGAUGCACAAAUUUGGUGCAUGAAUUUUUUGCCACGUUUUUUCCUAAAUAUCUCCACUUUUUAUCCAGUGUCCUUUUUAUUAAUUUAUUAUCGUUAGUGUCUCAGUACACAAUACAGUCAUUGCAAUUAAAUAACAACGGUACUGUUUGGAAAUUUUAACCUGAAGCAUUUAUUGAUAAGCUGAUGUAUUUUUUUAAAAGUAUAUAUGUACAGGAAGUGGAUUAUUUUUAAAAAUAUAAAUGUUAAUUCUGAAUAAAAUCUGGAUUAAGAAUAAAAAUGGGUUGCAUUUUGUAAAAGGUUGCCAUCAGUGCAAUUUUUCUAGGAAAAGAGGUGCAGGAACUCAUCAUGAACAACUUCCUCGUUCUCUUAGAAUGACAAUGGUGCUCACCUGAGAGGUGCCGCAACAGAAUUCCAGCAAAUUCCGGCUGGAAAAAGCCCUGGUUGCCAUUAUUUGAAGAUAAGUUGGAUGCAUUUCUGAUUCCACAUAAUACCUUGAAAAUGUAUUUGCCCACACAGAAUCUGCUGUGGUUGUGAAUAUAAGUUUUCCUUCAUAUUUUUCAGGGCUAGUCGUUCAAUGCGCUCAGCAACUGAGAGGGAGGAUGAAGGCCUAAUCUCAUGCAGGAAUUUGAGUGGCGAUUUCAGUGCUAUUUCUUCCCAGCCAGAGCAGGUUAGCAUCUACUAUGGAUUGUUGAAUUAGAGGAGGUACGAUGGCCAUCUUCAGAUAUCUAAAGGGCUUUCACAUGGAAGGUGGAGCAAGCUUGUCUUCUCCUGCUCCGGAAGUUUGUGCAUCCUGACGUUCAUAUGUUGAGAAUGUGUAUUGGACAGAAGGACUAUGUAAAUAAGCAAGCUGAUAGCACAGUGACUGCAGAAAACUCCAGAUGUUUGACUUCUCGCUCAAAGUAAUGAAGGACACUAGAACGCUGAUAUUCCAA
Podarcis raffonei (Aeolian wall lizard) is the source of this 1083-nucleotide long non-coding RNA. RefSeq lists it as uncharacterized. The record is from RefSeq and is a predicted model, not a curated record. Lineage: Eukaryota; Metazoa; Chordata; Lepidosauria; Squamata; Lacertidae. The transcript is spliced from 4 exons.